RNAcentral lists this long non-coding RNA (507 nucleotides) under Gallus gallus (chicken). RNAcentral's name for it is "lncRNA (ENSGALG00010000996.1)". Lineage: Eukaryota; Metazoa; Chordata; Aves; Galliformes; Phasianidae. The record is from RNAcentral.
GAAGCAGUCUUUUUUUUUUGUGGGCUUAUCUCCAGAGAGAUAGCCAUCUCAGGAGGCACUGACCCAAGCACCCAGGAAUGCCAUGUUGGCAGAAGGAGGAUACAAAAGGGACCAACAACUGUGAGAGUCGGCAAUGUUGCUGCUGCUCUCCCUCUGUGCUUUUGCCUCAGACCAUCGGAACAGCAUGCAACAGGAUACUGCUGGAUCUUGGUGUUUGAAUGCACCGCAAGAAGGUCAGACCGAGGAAGACGUUGAGCCUUCGCGAGGAAUCCUUCUGACUUCAUCCCCACGACCACCAGAGGGAGACUCCUACUAUGGACAACGCAUGUGCCAGGGGAGGGGCAGUAUGUAAAUGAAUUUCCAGAAGAUUAAUGAAGUUUGAUUCCGCACGUCAGCACUAGAGACACAGCUGCCAGCAACCUGAAGAAUAUCAAGAAGGACUACAAGGAGCUGGGAACAGCAGUGAAGAACUCAGGAGUACAGGUAGUCCUCUCAGCAGUCCUCCAG